Molecule: ribosomal RNA, 433 nt
Filed under: uncultured bacterium
Lineage: Bacteria
Description: partial 16S ribosomal RNA
Rfam family: Bacterial small subunit ribosomal RNA
Source: RNAcentral
AGCGAACGCUGGCGGCAGGCCUAACACAUGCAAGUCGAACGGAUCCUUCGGGAUUAGUGGCGGACGAGUGAGUAACACGUGGGAACGUGCCCUUUGGUUCGGAACAACCCAGGGAAACUUGAGCUAAUACCGGAUGUGCCCUUCGGGGGAAAGAUUUAUCGCCAUUGGAGCGGCCCGCGUCUGAUUAGCUAGUUGGUGAGGUAACGGCCCACCAAGGCGACGAUCAGUAGCUGGUCUGAGAGGAUGAUCAGCCACACUGGGACUGAGACACGGCCCAGACUCCUACGGGAGGCAGCAGUGGGGAAUCUUGCGCAAUGGGCGAAAGCCUGACGCAGCCAUGCCGCGUGAAUGAUGAAGGUCUUAGGAUUGUAAAAUUCUUUCAGCGGGGACGAUAAUGACGGUACCCGCAGAAGAAGCUCCGGCUAACUUCGUG